UACGGAGGGUGCGAGCGUUGUCCGGAUUUACUGGGCGUAAAGAGCGCGCAGGCGGUCGUGCAAGUCGCGUGUGAAAGCCCCCGGCUCAACUGGGGAGGGUCACGCGAUACUGCUCGACUCGAAGGCAGGAGAGGGAAGUGGAAUUCCCGGUGUAGUGGUGAAAUGCGUAGAUAUCGGGAGGAACACCAGUGGCGAAGGCGACUUCCUGGCCUGUUCUUGACGCUGAGGCGCGAAAGCUAGGGGAGCAAACGGG
RNAcentral lists this ribosomal RNA (253 nucleotides) under uncultured bacterium. RNAcentral describes it as "partial 16S ribosomal RNA". It matches the Rfam family "Bacterial small subunit ribosomal RNA", at positions 524 to 776 of the family's 1533-position model. The record is from RNAcentral.